GCAUACAUAUGCACUCGUAAUUAUGGAAAACUCCAUGAUUGAACAUUAUAUGCAUGUCCAGAUUCCUGAUUCAGGAUUUCUUGUCGUAGACAAAUCACUAUAAUUGAGCUUAUCCAUAUGGUUUUCUUUCUGCUCAUUCUAAUGAGGAAGUUGACCUACAUCGAUACAUCAUUGAUCCCUACAGGUGGAUAGCAGCAGGGGGCUGUACUACUUUUCAUGCCUUCAAGAACCGGGUCAUAUAUACCACACUGUAUCCACAAUCCCAAUUAUGCAUCACUAGAAAGUUGAUAGGUCCUACCAGUCCAAAAUUAAAUCCAUACUAGUCCAUCAACCCGUGCUCCCGCACAGGCUAAUGUUUUUAGAAGCUAUUGUAUUUAAAAAUUAUUUAGAAAUUAAACUCCUAGCUAGUAAUCAAAAUUGAUUACCUACUACUUUCUUAUUUUUUCAAUACGUCAACAUAAUACUUAUAUAAAUAUGUAUGUAUCUUUAUCCAAUUGUGAUUAAUUUUUAAUUAAUAAUUACUCUAUGCACUUUUUCAUCCAUAUUCAUACUUUUUCUAUUUUGUAUCGCACCUCCAAUCCUCCAUACAUACAUUAUGUUUAGCAUACAAAUCAAUAUUUUUCAUCGAUUCCUCACAUACAUGUAUAAAUGGUCUAAAUGGUGACAUUCAUCAUGUGUAUAUACUUUAACUUAAAAUUUCUAUAUUAAUAAUGACAUAAAGGUAAUUUAGAAUCAUAUAUUAGUAUACUUUUUGACAUUUCUGUAUGAUGCACAUGAAGAUAAUUAGAUUAAGAUUUAGAUGUUUAAUUUAAGUUAUUUUUAAUAACAACAUACGUGGGUAAUAUAGAUAAAAUUUUAGAAUGACAUUUUAAGUUAUGCUUUAUAAUGAUAUCUAUUAGUAAAUUGUAUGAAG
RNAcentral lists this long non-coding RNA (913 nucleotides) under Setaria viridis. Its description in RNAcentral is "long non-coding RNA (SVIR_LNC001009)". Lineage: Eukaryota; Viridiplantae; Streptophyta; Magnoliopsida; Poales; Poaceae. The record is from RNAcentral.